GAAGAAUUCAGAGAUGGAUUUGUGCCUUCGGGAACCGUGAGACAGGUGCUGCAUGGCUGUCGUCAGCUCGUGUUGUGAAAUGUUGGGUUAAGUCCCGCAACGAGCGCAACCCUUAUCCUUUGUUGCCAGCGGUCCGGCCGGGAACUCAAAGGAGACUGCCAGUGAUAAACUGGAGGAAGGUGGGGAUGACGUCAAGUCAUCAUGGCCCUUACGACCAGGGCUACACACGUGCUACAAUGGCGCAUACAAAGAGAAGCGACCUCGCGAGAGCAAGCGGACCUCAUAAAGUGCGUCGUAGUCCGGAUUGGAGUCUGCAACUCGACUCCAUGAAGUCGGAAUCGCUAGUAAUCGUGGAUCAGAAUGCCACGGUGAAUACGUUCCCGGGCCUUGUACACACCGCCCGUCACACCAUGGGAGUGGGUUGCAAAAGAAGUAGGUAGCUUAACCUUCGGGAGGGCGCUUACCACUUUGUGAUUCAUGACUGGGGUGAAGUCGUAACAAGGUAACCGUAGGGGAACCUGCGGUUGGAUCACCUCCUUACCUUAAAGAAGC
This 552-nucleotide ribosomal RNA is filed under the name Salmonella enterica. RNAcentral's name for it is "bacterial SSU rRNA". It matches the Rfam family "Bacterial small subunit ribosomal RNA", at positions 993 to 1533 of the family's 1533-position model. Lineage: Bacteria; Pseudomonadati; Pseudomonadota; Gammaproteobacteria; Enterobacterales; Enterobacteriaceae. RNAcentral also lists the same sequence under 3 other names. The record is from RNAcentral.